RNAcentral lists this ribosomal RNA (207 nucleotides) under uncultured bacterium. Its description in RNAcentral is "partial 16S ribosomal RNA". It matches the Rfam family "Bacterial small subunit ribosomal RNA", at positions 568 to 774 of the family's 1533-position model. The record is from RNAcentral.
CACGUAGGCGGCUUUGUAAGUUAGAGGUGAAAGCCUGGAGCUCAACUCCAGAACUGCCUUUAAGACUGCAUCGCUUGAAUCCAGGAGAGGUGAGUGGAAUUCCGAGUGUAGAGGUGAAAUUCGUAGAUAUUCGGAAGAACACCAGUGGCGAAGGCGGCUCACUGGACUGGUAUUGACGCUGAGGUGCGAAAGCGUGGGGAGCAAACA